RNAcentral lists this ribosomal RNA (448 nucleotides) under uncultured bacterium. RNAcentral's name for it is "bacterial SSU rRNA". It matches the Rfam family "Bacterial small subunit ribosomal RNA", at positions 329 to 794 of the family's 1533-position model. The record is from RNAcentral.
GGCCAGACUCCUACGGGAGGCAGCAGUGGGGAAUAUUGCACAAUGGGGGAAACCCUGAUGCAGCGACGCCGCGUGAGUGAAGAAGUCAUUCGUGAUGUAAAGCUCUAUCAGCAGGGAAGAAAAUGACGGUACCUGACCAAGAAGCCCCGGCUAACUACGUGCCAGCAGCCGCGGUAAUACGUAGGGGGCAAGCGUUAUCCGGAUUUACUGGGUGUAAAGGGUGCGCAGGUGGCAGGGCAAGUCAGAUGUGAAAGCCCGGGGCUCAACCCCGGUAUUGCAUUUGAAACUGUCCGGCUAGAGUGCAGGAGAGGUAAGCGGAAUUCCUAGUGUAGCGGUGAAAUGCGUAGAUAUUAGGAGGAACACCAGUGGCGAAGGCGGCUUACUGGACUGUAACUGACACUGAGGCACGAAAGCGUGGGGAGCAAACAGGAUUAGAUACCCCCGUAAC